AACAUUCCUGAAGUUAUCUUUUGACUGCGAGUUUUGUGAAGGGAGAGCAAAUUCAAACACUACAGACUCCCACAAGAGAACGCAUCAACAUUUGAUAGAAUGGCGGGAAAAACGGAUAUCCUGUUCCUUCUCGUGGUCCUCGCUCUCGGCUCGACGUCGGCGAUUCAGUUAAGUGACAUCAGUGAAGACGAACUCAACGCCUUGUUGGACCUGGUAUCCAAGCGGAACUACGAGCAAACGGUGUUGGGUGGCGGGCCCGAUGACUUGGAGGAGUUUGAUGGGCAGUUCGACAAGCGCGGACGGGGACGGGGCAGGAAAGUAUCUUUGGAAAAAUGCGUGAAUCCUGUGAGUUUGCGUAACUGCAUGUGUGAUCCUAGAUUCACGGACGACGAACCAUUGAAACGGUACAGGGUCUGCUUCAACAAUUAAAGCCUGGUGGACUUCUGAUCGUCGAGUCGAGGAAUAUGUACCACCAACAAUGGAGACAUUAUAUACUACAAAGUUUAUUAACCAGGAAAAAUGAAAACGUGGUCAUGAAAGGCCUCCAGAUUUUGCUUUCUUGUGGUGUUUUACAAAGAUGUAUGCAUCCUUAUAUUACGGUCGAGUUCGUCUCCGAAAUAAAGCAACUUGCUAUGCAUU
Lytechinus pictus (painted urchin) is the source of this 639-nucleotide long non-coding RNA. RefSeq lists it as uncharacterized. The record is from RefSeq and is a predicted model, not a curated record. The transcript has 3 exons. NCBI's taxonomy places the organism in Eukaryota, Metazoa, Echinodermata, Echinoidea, Temnopleuroida, Toxopneustidae.